This 458-nucleotide ribosomal RNA is filed under the name uncultured bacterium. RNAcentral's name for it is "SSU rRNA". It matches the Rfam family "Bacterial small subunit ribosomal RNA", at positions 26 to 518 of the family's 1533-position model. The record is from RNAcentral.
AGAAUCAACGCUGGCGGCGUGCCUAACACAUGCAAGUCGCACGAGAAAGGGACUUCGGUCCUGAGUACAGUGGCGCACGGGUGAGUAACACGUGAAUUAUCUACCUCCGAGUGGGGAAUAACUGAGAGAAAUCUUAGCUAAUACCGCAUAACACUUACGAGUCAAAGCAGCAAUGCGCUUGGAGAGGAGUUCGCGGCAGAUUAGUUAGUUGGCGGGGUAAUGGCCCACCAAGACGAUGAUCUGUAUCCGGCCUGAGAGGGCGCACGGACACACUGGAACUGAAACACGGUCCAGACUCCUACGGGAGGCAGCAGUGGGGAAUUUUGCGCAAUGGGGGAAACCCUGACGCAGCAACGCCGCGUGGAGGAUGAAAUCCCUUGGGAUGUAAACUCCUUUCGAUAGGGAAGAUAAUGACGUACCUAUAGAAGAAGCCCGGCUAACUUCGCGCCAGCAGCCGC